Long non-coding RNA from Mastomys coucha (southern multimammate mouse), 1422 nucleotides. RefSeq lists it as uncharacterized. The transcript is spliced from 2 exons. The record is from RefSeq and is a predicted model, not a curated record. NCBI's taxonomy places the organism in Eukaryota, Metazoa, Chordata, Mammalia, Rodentia, Muridae.
UUCUCAACAAAGGCUCUAACCAACAAGUCCUUGACUUUGGAUUGGCACCUGCUGAACUGUGCCAUGGAGACCAGAAGAGGAUGCCAGAUCCCUAAGAAUUAAGUAUGGGCAGUUGAGAGUCACCUGAUGUGGGUUCGGGGAACUGAACCCAGUCUUCUGCAAGAAAAGUAAGUGCUAUUACUCACUCAGCCAUAUUUCCAGCCCAAAGAUUUAUCUUUUUUUUUUUAUUAUGUAUAUGUGUAUGGACCUGAGUAUAUAUAUGUGCACCACACACAUUACAGAUGUCUCAGAGACCAUAAGAGGAUGCUGAUUUCCCUGGAGAGGAUUGUGGAUCAUUCUUUUUUGACCUCUGGUGGGAUUGUCAUGUUCCAGUGGAUGGUCCCACAUCCAUGCACAUAUGAACAGCAUCAACUAGACUUAAUGGAGUGUGUGUGUGUGUGUGUGUGUGUGUGUGUGUGUGUGUGUGUUGGAGGGAUAUGUUGUGGGGGAUAUGGUGGGAAUUGGAGGAAUAAACAUGAUCAUCUUUCAUUGUAUUAUAUGCACAAAAUUCUCAAGAAUGAAGAAAAACUUUAAAGUAAAAUUAGUUAAAAACAGAAAAAGCAGGACACUCCCUGAACAUAGAACAGAGAAAGCUGAGAUCACAUUCACCAGCUCACAGAGUAAGGAUGCCGUGUCCCAUAAGGGGCUACAUGGCACGCUUCCCAAGGAUGCUCCCUCCAUUGCCUUACCUGUGUUGAGAGCCCUGUUCAACACAGAGAGCAGUGUGCAGUGAUGUGUGGCUGGGUGGACCAGACUGGCUUUGAGACAAAUGAAGCUGAGUGAAGGAGGAUGAGACACAGAGGCCUGCAGCAGACCAGGUGUCACCAGGACUCCAUUCACCAAGGAAGCACACAGGUAAGAGGUUCAGGGAACUAACCUUGCAGGUUGGAAGCCAGGUCUGCACUCUGCAAACAGAAGAGGAACUUCGAGGCCCUCCAGGGAAUCUUGUGACUCAGAGGAGAUCUAUCAUGAACCUAUCAUGAUGGUGAUUGGUGAUCAUAAACUCUGUCCCUGGAACUAGCAUCCUAUAUGCAAAUGUAUCUGGCCCCACCCACUCCUGCAGAUGUCACCUCUGUCCCAACCCUUGUCUCCAUCCUGCCAGGGCCUAUCCUGCAUCAAGACCAGACUUGCUCUUUGAAUUCCCCCACAUCCUUCAUCACUCUUCCAGAGCAACCUGAGCCUCUUCUGUGGGGUUGGCCAAGCAGAAUUUAAAUGUAGCUCCAUCAUUACCAGUCAGGGUGAGUCAUUUGAUUUUUAUGGGUUUCACUUGGUUCAUCUGUAAAAAUGGAGAUCAGAGCCCCUGAGACCAUUUGUGAACAUUGAAUUGCCAUCAGCGAUCUAACAGUCUUGGCACAUAGUGGACAAUUAAUAAAUGGUACUUUC